GCAGCCACUCAUUCAAAGAGUGCGUAAUAGCUCACUGGUCGAGUGAUCCUGCGCCGAAGAUUUCCGGGGCUAAAACUUACUACCGAAGCUACGGCAUCAGUAAUGAUGGGUAGGGGAGCUUCCCAUACGGGUUGAAGCAUGACCGUAAGGACAUGUGGACAGUAUGGGAGUGAGAAUGUUGGCAUGAGUAGCGAGAUGUGGGUGAGAAUCCCACAGGCCGUAAACCCAAGGUUUCCAGGGGAAGGUUCGUCCGCCCUGGGUUAGUCGGGACCUAAGCUGAGGCCGAAAGGCGUAGGUGAUGGACAACAGGUUGAUAUUCCUGUACUACCGAUAACCGUUUGAGAGAAGGGAUGACACAGUAGGAUAAGCUAAGCACACUGUUGGUUAUGUGUGCCCAAGCAUUGAGGCAGUCAAAGUAGGCAAAUCCGCUUUGAUACUGCUGGGAGGUGAUGGGGAGCGAAAUUUAGUAGCGAAGUAGCUGAUUUCACACUGUCAAGAAAAGUCUCUAUCGAGGUUAAAGGUACCCGUACCGCAAACCGACACAGGUGGGUGAGGAGAGUAUCCUAAGGCCAGCGAGAGAACUGUUGUUAAGGAACUCGG
This 600-nucleotide ribosomal RNA is filed under the name Clostridioides difficile. Its description in RNAcentral is "bacterial LSU rRNA". It matches the Rfam family "Bacterial large subunit ribosomal RNA", at positions 1112 to 1717 of the family's 2925-position model. The record is from RNAcentral. Lineage: Bacteria; Bacillati; Bacillota; Clostridia; Peptostreptococcales; Peptostreptococcaceae.